CUGUGAGUAUUCUUGCUGUUCUGAUUUUGUAAUAAUCAGGCAGCCUAAACAUUGGCUAUAUUAAGACCAUUCACGUGAAUCCCCAGACCUAGUUCUUCCCCUAGGUCUGGUUUUAUCAAUACUUAUGAUAAAC
This 133-nucleotide small nucleolar RNA is filed under the name Mustela putorius furo (domestic ferret). RNAcentral's name for it is "Small nucleolar RNA SNORA72 (ENSMPUG00000023716.1)". It matches the Rfam family "Small nucleolar RNA SNORA72". Rfam says of the family: U72 is a member of the H/ACA class of snoRNAs. The snoRNA gene is located in intron 4 of the ribosomal L30 protein gene in human, mouse and chicken. The record is from Rfam by way of RNAcentral. Lineage: Eukaryota; Metazoa; Chordata; Mammalia; Carnivora; Mustelidae.